This 394-nucleotide unclassified non-coding RNA is filed under the name soil metagenome. RNAcentral describes it as "partial contains 5.8S ribosomal RNA, internal transcribed spacer 2, and large subunit ribosomal RNA". The stretch from base 1 to 122 matches the Rfam family "5.8S ribosomal RNA", at positions 35 to 154 of the family's 154-position model. The record is from RNAcentral.
GAUGAAGAACGCAGCGAAAUGCGAUACUUGGUGUGAAUUGCAGAAUCCCGUGAACCAUCGAGUCUUUGAACGCAAGUUGCGCCCGAAGCCAUCAGGUUGAGGGCACGUCUGCCUGGGCGUCACAUAUCGUUGCCCAAUGCCUAUUGCAGUGCAAUAGGAAUUUCUAGGGCGAAUGAUGGCUUCCCGUGAGCGUUGUUGCCUCGCGGUUGGUUGAAAAUCGAGUCCUUGGUAGGGUGUGCCAUGGUAGAUGGUGGUCGAGUUAGAACGAUACCGAUCAUGUGCAUGCUCCCCAAAAUAUGGCCUCUAUGACCCACACGCGUCUUUUGACGCUCAUGACGAGACCUCAGGUCAGGCGGGCUACCCGCUGAAUUUAAGCAUAUCAAUAAGCGGAGGA